This 512-nucleotide ribosomal RNA is filed under the name Candida albicans. Its description in RNAcentral is "eukaryotic LSU rRNA". The stretch from base 145 to 298 matches the Rfam family "5.8S ribosomal RNA". The record is from RNAcentral. Lineage: Eukaryota; Fungi; Ascomycota; Pichiomycetes; Serinales; Debaryomycetaceae.
AGGGCUCUGAAUGCUUAUUGCACCACAUGUGUUUUUCUUUGAAACAAACUUGCUUUGGCGGUGGGCCCAGCCUGCCGCCAGAGGUCUAAACUUACAACCAAUUUUUUAUCAACUUGUCACACCAGAUUAUUACUUAAUAGUCAAAACUUUCAACAACGGAUCUCUUGGUUCUCGCAUCGAUGAAGAACGCAGCGAAAUGCGAUACGUAAUAUGAAUUGCAGAUAUUCGUGAAUCAUCGAAUCUUUGAACGCACAUUGCGCCCUCUGGUAUUCCGGAGGGCAUGCCUGUUUGAGCGUCGUUUCUCCCUCAAACCGCUGGGUUUGGUGUUGAGCAAUACGACUUGGGUUUGCUUGAAAGACGGUAGUGGUAAGGCGGGAUCGCUUUGACAAUGGCUUAGGUCUAACCAAAAACAUUGCUUGCGGCGGUAACGUCCACCACGUAUAUCUUCAAACUUUGACCUCAAAUCAGGUAGGACUACCCGCUGAACUUAAGCAUAUCAAUAAGCGGAGGAA